CCAAUAGCGUAUAUUAAAGUUGUUGUGGUUAAAAAGCUCGUAGUUGAACCUUGGGCCUGGCUGGCCGGUCCGCCUCACCGCGUGUACUGGUCCGGCCGGGCCUUUCCCUCUGUGGAACCUCAUGCCCUUCACUGGGUGUGACGGGGAAGCAGGACUUUUACUGUGAAAAAAUUAGAGUGCUCCAAGCAGGCCUAUGCUCGAAUACAUUAGCAUGGAAUAAUAAAAUAGGACGUGCGGUUCUAUUUUGUUGGUUUCUAGGACCGCCGUAAUGAUUAAUAGGGACAGUCGGGGGCAUCAGUAUUCAAUUGUCAGAGGUGAAAUUCUUGGAUUUAUUGAAGACUAACUACUGCGAAAGCAUUUGCCAAGGAUGUUUUCAUUAAUCAGGAACGAAAGUUAGGGGAUCGAAGACGAUCAGAUACCGUCGUAGUCUUAACUAUAAACUAUGCCGACUAGGGAUGGGUGGAAGUUGCAUUUUCGACUUCAUCCGCACCUUCUG
Molecule: unclassified non-coding RNA, 496 nt
Filed under: uncultured Paraglomus
Lineage: Eukaryota; Fungi; Glomeromycota; Glomeromycetes; Paraglomerales; Paraglomeraceae
Description: SSU rRNA
Rfam family: Eukaryotic small subunit ribosomal RNA
Source: RNAcentral